Small nucleolar RNA from Nycticebus coucang (slow loris), 132 nucleotides. RefSeq annotates it as small nucleolar RNA SNORA51. NCBI's taxonomy places the organism in Eukaryota, Metazoa, Chordata, Mammalia, Primates, Lorisidae. The record is from RefSeq and is a predicted model, not a curated record. The transcript has a single exon.
UAAUUUAUUUUUUUCAUUGUUUUUAUUGUUUGGGAUUCAUUGAGAAUACAAAGAAUUAAGUUACACUCCUACCCUAUGUACACCCCAGCCCAGGCCCCAUGCCUGGUCUGUAUUGUGAAUGGGGGAACAUGG